Molecule: ribosomal RNA, 252 nt
Filed under: uncultured bacterium
Lineage: Bacteria
Description: partial 16S ribosomal RNA
Rfam family: Bacterial small subunit ribosomal RNA
Source: RNAcentral
UACGUAGGUCCCGAGCGUUGUCCGGAUUUAUUGGGCGUAAAGCGAGCGCAGGUAGUUUAUUAAGUCUGGUGUAAAAGGCAGUGGCUCAACCAUUGUAUGCAUUGGAAACUGGUAGACUUGAGUGCAGGAGAGGAGAGUGGAAUUCCAUGUGUAGCGGUGAAAUGCGUAGAUAUAUGGAGGAACACCGGUGGCGAAAGCGGCUCUCUGGCCUGUAACUGACACUGAGGCUCGAAAGCGUGAGGAGCAAACAGG